This 73-nucleotide transfer RNA is filed under the name Gaiellaceae bacterium. RNAcentral's name for it is "tRNA-Ala". It matches the Rfam family "tRNA". From Rfam's summary of the family: Transfer RNA (tRNA) molecules are approximately 80 nucleotides in length. Lineage: Bacteria; Bacillati; Actinomycetota; Thermoleophilia; Gaiellales; Gaiellaceae. The record is from RNAcentral. RNAcentral also lists the same sequence under 1 other name.
GGGCCCAUAGCUCAGCUGGGAGAGCGCGUGCAUGGCAUGCACGAGGUCGCCGGUUCGAUCCCGGCUGGGUCCA